UCUAUUUGGCUGAAUAAAGAGCAGGAUGGU
This 30-nucleotide non-coding RNA is filed under the name Mus musculus (house mouse). The record is from RNAcentral. Lineage: Eukaryota; Metazoa; Chordata; Mammalia; Rodentia; Muridae.